GCCAAAUAUCUAGCUUUCUUCCAAUCAUUCUAAUUUUCUAUACUCAAUAUGCAAUAAAACAUUUUGUUAUUUUAGUAAAGGCGAUUAAAAAAAUUCUUAAAGCUUUAAAUUUAGUACCGUAAGGGAACGAUGAAAUAUUAGUGAAAUAACAUAAAGCACAAGAUAGUAGAAGUUAAAACUCGUACCUUUUGCAUCAUGGUCUAGCCAGUCCUAAUCAAGCAAAAAGAGGUUUUAGUUUGAUUCCCCGAAACUAGGUGAGCUACUUCAAAAUCGCCUUUAGGGCUAACCCGUCUCUGUAGCAAAAGAGUGGGAAAAUUUUCAAGUAGAAGUGACAGACCUAACGAACCUAGAGAUAGCUGGUUAUUCAAGAAAAGAAUUUUAGUUCACCCUUAAGUCUCUUCAUGAUUAUCAACAUCCCCGCAGGCUUAAGAGUUAUUCAAAUAAGGCACAGCUUAUUUGAAACAGGAUACAACCUAGACACUAGGGUAAACCACUAAGAUCUAACUAAGUUGGCCUAAAAGCAGCCACCUUUAAAAAAGCGUUAAAGCUUUAUUUUUUCCUCCUAAAAAUUUAUUUAAUAAUUAUGAACCCAUCAUUACUAUUGAAUAAUUUCAUAAAUUAUGAAAGUUACCAUGCUAGAACUAGUAACAAGAAAAUGCAUUUCUCCAAAUUGUAAGCUUGAACCAAAAUGGACUCCCCACUGGUACUCAACGAUAAUGACCCCAAUAUUUUAACCACUCAAGAAAACUGAAUAACUUAUAUCGUCAACCUUACACUAGAACACUUCUGGAAAGAUUAAAAGGAAGAGAAGGAACUCGGCAAUAUUUAGUCCCGCCUGUUUACCAAAAACAUCGCCUCUUGCACACUAUAAGAGGUCCCGCCUGCCCAGUGAUUAAUUUAACGGCCGCGUGAUUUUAAGCGCGCAAAGGUAGCAAAAUCAUUUGUUCUUUAAAUGAGGACCAGUAUCAAUGGCACCACGAGGACUUCACUGUCUCCUUUUCCCAAUCAGUGAAACUAAUCUCCCUGUGAAAAAGCAGGGAUAAAGCUAUAAGACGAGAAGACCCCAUGGAGCUUUAAACUUUUUCAGCAACUUCCAGUAAAUUUUUACCUAUUAAUACUUAAGUUGUGCUUAAUAGUUUUAGGUUGGGGCGACCGCGGAGUAAAAUUUAACCUCCACGACAAAAGGAGAUUUCCUAAUCUAAGAAAGACAUUUCUAAGAAUCACUAACCUGAUGUUUCAUGACCCGACUAUCGAUCAACGAACCAAGUUACCCUGGGGAUAACAGCGCAAUCCAUUUAGAAAGCUCCUAUCGACAAAUGGGUUUACGACCUCGAUGUUGGAUCAGGAUUCCCAAGUGGUGCAGCCGCUACUAAAGGUUUGUUUGUUCAACAAUUAAAAUC
RNAcentral lists this ribosomal RNA (1400 nucleotides) under Occidozyga lima. RNAcentral describes it as "partial 16S large subunit ribosomal RNA". It matches the Rfam family "Bacterial large subunit ribosomal RNA", at positions 133 to 2595 of the family's 2925-position model. Lineage: Eukaryota; Metazoa; Chordata; Amphibia; Anura; Dicroglossidae. The record is from RNAcentral.